RNAcentral lists this long non-coding RNA (356 nucleotides) under Trifolium pratense (red clover). RNAcentral describes it as "long non-coding RNA (TPRA_LNC006482)". The record is from RNAcentral. Lineage: Eukaryota; Viridiplantae; Streptophyta; Magnoliopsida; Fabales; Fabaceae.
UUCUUUUGUUCAUAAUUCAAUUCAUUCCCAAACGCAAUGUUCAUUCAAUUCUCCUGUGUCUUCUUCGUCUUCUUCAUCUUCUUCGUCCCACAAAUCCCAAAUCGUUAGACUUCGAAAUCCCAAAUCAUAGCAUAAAACUCUUUGAAAUCUCUAAAUCCCAAAUCCCUAAAUCCCAAAUCACAGCAAACACAUAAAAUUCUUCUCUUUGAAACCCUAAAUCCCUAAAUCGUCUUUCACUGUAAGUCAAUUUAGAGUCUUCUAAACCUCCCGAACAAACCGAUUUCUCCUCCCUCCCUUACGACGUUCUCAACAAAAUCGCAUCCUCCAAUCAGCUUCUAUGGUAUGUCGGUCAUGGU